UACGGAGGGGGCUAGCGUUGUUCGGAAUUACUGGGCGUAAAGCGCACGUAGGCGGCUAUUUAAGUCAGGGGUGAAAGCCCGGGGCUCAACCCCGGAAUUGCCCUUAAGACUGGAUAGCUAGAAUCUGGGAGAGGUGAGUGGAAUUCCGAGUGUAGAUGUGAAAUUCGUAGAUAUUCGGAAGAACUCCAGGGGCGAAGGCGGCUCACUGGACCAGUAUUGACGCUGAGGUUCGAAAGCGUGGGGAGCAAACAGG
RNAcentral lists this ribosomal RNA (253 nucleotides) under uncultured bacterium. RNAcentral describes it as "partial 16S ribosomal RNA". It matches the Rfam family "Bacterial small subunit ribosomal RNA", at positions 524 to 776 of the family's 1533-position model. The record is from RNAcentral.